CCGAAGAGGCUAGCCAUGCAUGCAGUCGAGCGGCAGCGGAAGUAGCUGCUACUUGCCGGCGAGCGGCGGACGGGUGAGUAUGUCUGGGAAACUGCCUGAUGGAGGGGGAUAACUACUGGAAACGGUAGCUAAUACCGCAUAACGUCGCAAGACCAAAGAGGGGGACCUUCGGGCCUCUGCCAUCAGAUGUGCCCAGAUGGGAUUAGCUAGUAGGUGGGGUAACGGCUCACCUAGGCGACGAUCCCUAGCUGGUCUGAGAGGAUGACCAGCCACACUGGAACUGAGACACGGUCCAGACUCCUACGGGAGGCAGCAGUGGGGAAUAUUGCACAUGGGCGCAAGCCUGAUGCAGCCUGCCGCGUGUAUGAAGAAGGCCUUCGGGUUGUAAAGUACUUUCAGCGGGGAGGAAGGCGUUGAGGUUAAUAACCUCAGCGAUUGACGUUACCCGCAGAAGAAGCACCGGCUAACUCCGUGCCAGCAGCCGCGGUAAUACGAGGGUGCAAGCGUUAAUCGGAAUUACUGGGCGUAAAGCGCACGCAGGCGGUCUGUCAAGUCGAUGUGAAAUCCCCGGGCUCAACCUGGGAACUGCAUUCGAAACUGGCAGGCUAGAGUCUUGUAGAGGGGGGUAGAAUUCCGGUGUAGCGGUGAAAUGCGUAGAGAUCUGGAGGAAUACCGGUGGCGAAGGCGGCCCCCUGGACAAAGACUGACGCUCRGUGCGAAAGCGUGGGGAGCAAACAGGAUUAGAUACCCUGGUAGUCCACGCCGUAAACGAUGUCGACUUGGAGGUUGUGCCCUUGAGGCGUGCUUCCGGAGCUAACGCGUUAAGUCGACCGCCUGGGGAGUACGGCCGCAAGGUUAAAACUCAAUGAUUGACGGGGGCCCGCAAGCGGUGAGCAUGUGGUUUAAUUCGAUGCAACGCGAAGACCUUACCUACUCUGACAUCCAGAAGAACUUCAGAGAUGSUUGGUGCCUUCGGGAACUUCUGAAACAUGGUGCUGCAUGACUGUCGUCGCUCGUGUUGUGAAAUGUGGAUAGUUCCGCACAGAGGCAACUAAUCGUUGUGCAGCGUCGGCGGG
RNAcentral lists this ribosomal RNA (1076 nucleotides) under Enterobacter asburiae. Its description in RNAcentral is "bacterial SSU rRNA". The record is from RNAcentral. Lineage: Bacteria; Pseudomonadati; Pseudomonadota; Gammaproteobacteria; Enterobacterales; Enterobacteriaceae.